Molecule: long non-coding RNA, 1401 nt
Organism: Bos indicus x Bos taurus (hybrid cattle)
Lineage: Eukaryota; Metazoa; Chordata; Mammalia; Artiodactyla; Bovidae
Source: Ensembl
GUAACACAGGAGGAAAUCAACCCUGAAUAUUCGUUGGAAGGACUGAUGCGGAAGCUAAAGCACCAAUAUCUGGGCCUCCUGAUGCCAAGAGUCGGCUCAGUGGAAAAGACCGUGAUGCUGGGAAAGAUUGAGGGCAGGAGGAGAAGAGGGUGACAGAGGAUGAGAUGGUUGGACGGCAUCAUCGACUUAAUGGGCCAGAGUUUGAGCAAGCCCUGGGAGAUGGUGAAGGACAGGGAAGCCUGGCGUGCUGCCAUCCAUGGGGUCGCAAAGAGCUGGAUACAACUUAGCGACUGAACAACUGCAACAGCUGAGGUGCAGGGAGUGAGGUCUGAAUUCUUGUUCUAGCUGUGUGGCCUCAGACAAGUCAUCUCACCUCUUGGAGCCUCGAUUUUACCAUCUUUCCAAUGGGGAUAAUAAUAUUUAUUGCUAUCAUGCAAGGAGGAAUAAAUGACAUGAGAGAGUUAUGUAAGGUGCCCAGCACUGUGCCUGGCACAGAGAAAGUAUCUGAUAAACGGAAACUACUAUUAAUGAAAUGCAGCAGUUUGGGAUGAGAGAUUUGGCUUCUUUAACAAACCUGUCUUGGAGAGAUUUUUACAUCCUACUGUUCUGUGCUAAAGAGACAACUAAAUUCCUGUUUACAUAUAAACCUAAACCCUCUUAUUCUAACUGUGCCACCACCUUAAAAGACAUAUAUUUAUGCUUUCGCUUUUAGCUGUUCAUAUGUUUAAAAGUGGCACACACUUCCAGUGUGAUUAUGCUAAUGUACACAGGAGUUUAACAACUGUGCUCUCUGCUCUAACCAUCUAUUUGAACUACAUUGUGCAAAUAAGAUGUUAUCUUAAAUAAGCUCCUAAUAUAACUCAGUAAUCACUAUAAUGCUUUUUUGGUGAAAUUGUGGUGUUAUUACUGAAUUUAGUCAUGAGUCUCAGAUGCCGAACCUUCGAACAAACACCAGCAGUGCCCAGUUGCCGAGUUCCCAGCCACGAGGAGAUGGACGUAGUCAUCCUGGGAGGCUGGAAAGGGGGGCAGCGGCUGGCAUGUGCGAGGUCCUGGGUCCGACACCCACAGGAGAGGGUGAGCCAGGGUGUAGGAUCGCACCUGUCGGAGGGAGGGUCACCCUUAUCAGAAGCCUCAUCACAAAGUGGAGAAGGAAUAAGCACCGCAGGCCCACACAUUCCAGCCACAGGAAGGCUGGGUCUGACUCACAAGGUGGAAUGCGGGCCGGGAAGGACUUUAGCCAGCUCCGAGGGUCCUCUCUGCCUGGCAGACGCCAUCUGCACCGCCUCCCGGGAACUUUGCUUGCAGCCUGGAGGUGGUGGCGUGGCUGAGCCUUUCCUGAGUCUAUGUGAAUGCGGUUUCACUGGGGGACAGUUGACUCCAUGCUUAGCUCCCUCUGGGUGA